GAUGAACGCUGGCGGCGUGCCUAAUACAUGCAAGUCGAGCGAACAGAUGAGGAGCUUGCUCCUCUGACGUUAGCGGCGGACGGGUGAGUAACACGUGGAUAACCUACCUAUAAGACUGGGAUAACUUCGGGAAACCGGAGCUAAUACCGGAUAAUAUAUUGAACCGCAUGGUUCAAUAGUGAAAGACGGUUUUGCUGUCACUUGUAGAUGGAUCCGCGCCGCAUUAGCUAGUUGGUAAGGUAAAGGCUUACCAAGGCAACGAUGCGUAGCCGAACUGAGAGGGUGAUCGGCGACACUGGAACUGAGACACGGUCCAGACUCCUACGGGAGGCAGCAGUAGGGAAUCUUCCGCAAUGGGCGAAAGCCUGACGGAGCAACGCCGCGUGAGUGAUGAAGGUCUUCGGAUCGUAAAACUCUGUUAUUAGGGAAGAACAAAUGUGUAAGUAACUAUGCACGUCUUGACGGUACCUAAUCAGAAAGCCACGGCUAACUACGUG
This 497-nucleotide ribosomal RNA is filed under the name uncultured bacterium. RNAcentral describes it as "partial 16S ribosomal RNA". It matches the Rfam family "Bacterial small subunit ribosomal RNA", at positions 28 to 507 of the family's 1533-position model. The record is from RNAcentral.